UGAAAGCCAGGAAGAAAAAGAAAUGGUAAUCGAGAUUGAAGCCCUGCAGGAGGUCUUGGAGAAGCUGAGGAGCAGCCAGCUGCCUCUUGAAAAGAAGUUAGGGUGGGUGCCUUCGUGUGAUGCAGGUGAACAGUGUGCAGUGCGCAA
Long non-coding RNA from Heteronotia binoei (common prickly gecko), 147 nucleotides. RefSeq lists it as uncharacterized. NCBI's taxonomy places the organism in Eukaryota, Metazoa, Chordata, Lepidosauria, Squamata, Gekkonidae. The record is from RefSeq and is a predicted model, not a curated record. The transcript has 3 exons.